GGGCAAUUGGCACAGUUGGUUAGCGCGCUUCCUUCACACGGAAGAGGUCAGAGGUUCGAAUCCUCUAUUGCCCACUA
This 77-nucleotide transfer RNA is filed under the name Ignavibacteria bacterium. Its description in RNAcentral is "tRNA-Val". It matches the Rfam family "tRNA". From Rfam's summary of the family: Transfer RNA (tRNA) molecules are approximately 80 nucleotides in length. Their secondary structure includes four short double-helical elements and three loops (D, anti-codon, and T loops). Further hydrogen bonds mediate the characteristic L-shaped molecular structure. tRNAs have two regions of fundamental functional importance: the anti-codon, which is responsible for specific mRNA codon recognition, and the 3' end, to which the tRNAs corresponding amino acid is attached (by aminoacyl-tRNA synthetases). tRNAs cope with the degeneracy of the genetic code in two manners: having more than one tRNA (with a specific anti-codon) for a particular amino acid; and 'wobble' base-pairing, i.e. permitting non-standard base-pairing at the 3rd anti-codon position. Lineage: Bacteria; Pseudomonadati; Ignavibacteriota; Ignavibacteria. The record is from RNAcentral.